UACAGGUCCGACAUAAGAGGAAGGGCAGAAAUAGUCAAAGUUCACUUUACAGACUCCAUUUUAACCGGAGGAAGAAGAUAUCUACCUUUAGCUCAACUCAAUUUGAAAACAUUUAGCUUGGUUAUGUUGGAUAGAAACGUGAGUCUUAUCUUGAGAAACAUGUUCUGAUGUGUGUACACAUCCGUGCUGUAAUUGAUUUAUUCAGAAAAGGUUGUUUCCCCAGGGGACGUAUUGCUACAAAAUGGCGGCAUAGUAAACAGGUACAGGGGGAGGAGUUUCAACACUUACACAGGUACAGGGGGAGGAGUUUCAACACUUACACAGGUACAGGGGAGGAGUUUCAACACUUACACAGGUACAGGGGGAGGAGUUUCAACACUUACACAGGUACAGGGGGAGGAGUUUCAACACUUACACAGGUACAGGGGGAGGAGUUUCAACACUUGCACAGGUACAGGGGGAGGAGUUUCAACACUUAAACAGUUCAAAUUAUGGAACACAUUACCCAUUAAUAUUAGGGAAGCAAACACGCUAGACACUUUCAAAAAGCAGCUUAAAACCUAUCUUUUUACCAAAGCAUUUUAUUAAUAUUAUUAAUUUUCUGUGGGGUUGAUACUAACUGUAACUUUCACUAUUUUUAUUAUUUCAGAAGGGUUUUAUUACUUUUAUUCCUUUUAUACCUUUUAUCCUGAUUUUAGUAAUUCAAGAAGCCUAUCGGAACAUCAGGUUCUGAUACGAUAUUAGUCAUUAUUUAACUCUAUGUAUUGCUCUUGCUGCUUGCUUUUAUUGAUUUUAUGUAAAGCACUUUGAACUGCAAUUCUUGUACGAAAUGUGCUAUAUAAAUAAAGUCUUACUUACUUACUUACAGGUACAGAGGGGGGGGGGUUCCUCCCAGCCAGGUUUAUAAAUCUGCUGUGGUCAGCCGCCUGAAGGAGAUUUUACUGAAAUGACAUGCAAUGCAUAUUAUUAAAACACCUUCAUAUCUGCAAAUCUGUUCCUGGACCUGGGAACAUGCAAAGACAUAGGAACUACAGGAAUGUUGUGUAUACUCGCCCUAUUAGGUGAAGUAUUUAGCAGACGUGACAUCCAAAGUGACAUAUAGUGCUGCUUGAAAGUAUGUGAAUCCCUUGAGCAGUUUAGAGUUUUUCUGUUGUUUUAC
Long non-coding RNA from Clupea harengus (Atlantic herring), 1159 nucleotides. Lineage: Eukaryota; Metazoa; Chordata; Actinopteri; Clupeiformes; Clupeidae. The record is from Ensembl.